GGAGUUAGCCGGUGCUUCUUCUGCGAGUAACGUCACAGAUGUAAGGUAUUAACUUACACCCUUUCCUCCUCGCUGAAAGUGCUUUACAACCCGAAGGCCUUCUUCACACACGCGGCAUGGCUGCAUCAGGGUUUCCCCCAUUGUGCAAUAUUCCCCACUGCUGCCUCCCGUAGGAGUCUGGGCCGUGUCUCAGUCCCAGUGUGGCUGAUCAUCCUCUCAGACCAGCUAGGGAUCGUCGCCUAGGUGAGCCUUUACCUCACCUACUAGCUAAUCCCACCUGGGAUUAUCCAUCAGCGCAAGGCCCGAAGGUCCCCUGCUUUCCCCCGUAGGGCGUAUGCGGUAUUAGCAGUCGUUUCCAACUGUUAUCCCCCACAAAUGGGCAAAUUCCCAGGCAUUACUCACCCGUCCGCCGCUCGUCAUCUUCAAAAGCAAGCUUUUGAAAUGUUACCGCUCGACUUGCAUGUGUUAGGCCUGCCGCCAGCGUUCAAUCUGAGCCAGAUCAAACUCUGA
RNAcentral lists this ribosomal RNA (510 nucleotides) under uncultured bacterium. RNAcentral's name for it is "partial 16S ribosomal RNA". The record is from RNAcentral.